Molecule: RNA transcript, 7327 nt
Organism: Acinonyx jubatus (cheetah)
Lineage: Eukaryota; Metazoa; Chordata; Mammalia; Carnivora; Felidae
Gene: LVRN
Gene name: laeverin
Exons: 21
Source: RefSeq, a predicted model, not a curated record
GGUGGGCAGGGACCUGGAUCUGAUUAGCUGGGAGGGGGAAGCCGUGGUCCCAACCGUUCGCUCCUGUCUCCCCAGCUCCUCGCGGAGGAGGAGGCGGGACGGUACAGAGAAGAAGAGCGAAGGGGGUCCCAUCACUGAGCACCCGGGCCACGAUUUGAGCCGCCGAGGUCUCCCGGCUGUCGCCCGGUCCUCGCCCCGGCCCCAGCCAUGGGGCCCCCUUCCAGCUCUGGCUUCUACGUGAGCCGCGCGGUAGCCCUGCUGCUGGCCGCGCUGGCCGCCGCACUCUUGCUGGCGCUGGCGGUGCUCGCCGCCCUGUACGGCCGCUGCGCGCGCGUCCAGCCGUCCGACCUCCAUCACGGCGGGGUCCCGGACGCCGCGUCCUCGCCGCGCGGCACGCAGGAGGAGCAGCUGCCCACCUGGCCGCCCCGCCCCACUCGUGAACCGGCGGGUACGGCCACCCCGGGCCACUGGCGACCCCCGGGCCCCUGGGACCAGCUGCGCCUGCCGCCCUGGCUCGUGCCUCUGCACUAUGAGCUGGAGCUGUGGCCCCGGCUACGUCCGAACGAGUUCCAGUCUCCGACGUUGAGCUUCACCGGCCGCGUGAACAUCACCGUGCGCUGCACCGCGGCCACCGCGCGGCUGCUGCUGCACAGCCUCUUCCUGGACUGCGAGAGCGCCGAGGUGCGGGGUCCUCUGUCCUCUGGCCCCCGAGACGGCGCGGUGGGUCGCGUGCCCGUGGACGACGUGUGGUUCGCUUUCGACAUGCAGUAUAUGGUGCUGGAGCUCGGCGCGACCCUGCAGCCCGGGAGCCGGUAUGAGCUGCAGCUCAGUUUCUCGGGCCUGGUGUACCGGGACCUCAGGGAGGGGCUCUUCUUCAGCAUCUACACGGACCAGGGCGAGCGCAGGGCCCUGUUAGCAUCUCAGAUGGAGCCAACAUUUGCCAGGAGUGUUUUUCCUUGUUUUGAUGAGCCAGCUCUAAAGGCAACCUUUAAUAUUACAAUUAUUCAUCAUCCAAGCUAUGGGGCCCUUUCCAAUAUGCCAAAGCUAGGUCAGUCUGAAAAAAGAGACGUGAAUGGAAGCGUGUGGACCAUUACCACCUUUUCCACCACUCCCCACAUGCCAACUUAUUUAGUCGCGUUGGCCAUAUGUGACUAUGACCACGUCAGCAGAACUGAAAGGGGCCAAGAGAUACGCAUCUGGGCCCGGAAAGAUGCCAUCGCAAAUGGAAACGCAGCCUUUGCUUUGAACAUCACAGGUCCUAUCUUCUCUUUUCUGGAAGAUUUGUUUAAUAUUAGUUACCCUCUUCCUAAAACAGAUAUAAUUGCCUUGCCUACUUUUGACAACAGUGCAAUGGAAAACUGGGGACUAUUGAUAUUCGAUGAGUCAUUAUUGUUGAUGCAACCAAAUGAUCAAGUAACAGACAAAAAGGCUGUGAUCUCCUUCAUUCUCUCCCACGAGAUUGGACAUCAGUGGUUUGGAAAUCUGGUUACCAUGAAUUGGUGGAAUGAUAUCUGGCUCAAAGAAGGUUUUGCAUCUUAUUUUGAAUUUGGAGUCAUUAACUACUUCAAUCCUAAAUUCCGAAGAAAUGAGGUCUUUUUUUCUAACAUUUUACAUCAUGUCCUCAGUGAAGAUCAUGCCCUGGUGUCUAGAGCUGUGUCCUUGAAGGUGGAAAAUUUCACAGAAACCAGUGAAAUAAAUGAACUCUUUGACUUAUUUACUUACAACAAGGGAGCAUCUUUGGCCCGAAUGCUUUCUAGCUUUCUGAAUGAGAAUGUAUUUAUCAGUGCACUCAAGUCAUAUUUGAAGACAUUUUCUUACUCAACUGCUGAGCAAGAUGAUUUAUGGAGGCAUUUUCAAAUGGUCGUAGACGACCAGAGUAAAAUUCUUUUGCCAGCGCCAGUAAAAAGCAUAAUGGACCGUUGGACACACCAGAGUGGUUUUCCAGUCAUCACCUUAAAUGUAUCUACUGGUGCCAUGAAACAGGAACCAUUUUAUCUUGGAAAGGUUAAAAAUCAGACUCUCCUAACCCACAACGACACAUGGAUUGUACCUAUUCUCUGGAUAAAAAAUGGAAUCACACAGUCUCUAGUUUGGCUAGAUAAAAGCAGCAAAAUAUUCCCUGAAAUGCAAGUUUCAGAUUCUGAUCACGACUGGGUGAUUCUAAAUUUGAAUAUGACUGGAUAUUACAGAGUUAACUAUGAUAAAGUAGGUUGGAAAAAGCUAAAACAACAGCUUGAAAAAGAUCCUAAGGCCAUCCCUGUUAUUCAUAGACUGCAGAUGAUCGAUGAUGCCUUUUCCUUGUCGAAAAACAAUUAUGUUGAGAUUGAAACAGCCCUUGAUUUAACCAAGUACCUUGCUGAAGAAGAUGAAAUCAUAGUAUGGUAUGCAGUCUUGGUGAACCUGGUAACCAAGGAUCUUGUUUUUGAUGUGAACAACUAUGAUAUGUACCCAUUAUUAAAGAAGUAUCUGUUAAAGAGACUUAUCUCAAUAUGGAAUAUGUAUUCAACUGUAAUUCGUGAAAACGUGGCAGCAUUACAAGAUGACUAUUUAGCCCUCGUGGCCCUGGAAAAACUUUUUGAAACUGCGUGUUGGUUGGGACUGGAAGACUGUCUUCAGCUGUCAAGAGAACUCUUCAAAAACUGGACAAACCAUCCAGAGAAUGAAAUACCUUAUCCGAUUAAAAGUGUAGUUUUAUGUUAUGGCGUUGCCUUCGGAAGUGAUGAAGAAUGGGACUUUUUGUUAAAUAUGUACUCUAAUAAAACAAAGGAAGAAGAAAGGAUUCAACUCACUUAUGCGAUGAGCUGCAGUAAAGACCCAUGGAUACUUCACAGAUAUCUGGAGUAUGCCGUCACGGCAGCUCCAUUCACUUUUAACGAAACAAAUAUAAUGGAAGUUGUGGCGGAAUCUGAAGUAGGCCGGUACAUUGUGAAGGACUUUUUAAUCAACAAUUGGCAAGCUGUGAGUGAAAGGUAUGGAACACAAUCGCUGGUUAACCUAAUGUACAUAAUAGGGAGAACCAUAAGCACAGAUUUACAGAUCACAGAGCUGCAGCAGUUUUUCAGCAACAUGUUGGAAGAGCACCAGAAGCUCACAGUUCGUGCCAAGUUACAGACAAUAAAGAACAAAAAUCUGGGAAACAAAAAGCUCAAUGCUAGGAUGACAGCGUGGCUACGGAAAAACACGUAACUGAGCGGCGGCCACUUCCGGCACCCCUCAGGCCCGUCAUAAUGUACUUUGUGCAGAGUUUUGUCCUCCAAUACUUUUGCCCGUUGCCUGUGUCACAGUUUACAGGCUACUGAGCCUUUAUUGUGUCACGAAAAGAGCCAGGAUCAAAGGAUCCACAAAGUGCCCUUGGGAUUGCUGUCGUGGAGGCCGGAAUGAGAGGAAGGCUUUGCUCUGAAGCUGGAGACUGCGUACCCACCUGUGGGCCAGACGCUCAUUUGGCCAAAGUCUCUGUGCAAAAAUAAUGCUGUCAACAGACAGUAGCAAUUAGGGGCAGAUCUUCAGCCCCAGGGAAGUGGCCAAAUACAGAGAAAUAGAGCUAAAAGGCCAACAUGCUAACCAGAGCAUAAUCUUUACAGCCAAGCCCUCAGGGGACUAAGUUUGAAACGCGGUUUCAUCUGGCCAAAUCGAACCUGCUUGUAGUUUGGAGAACUUUAAAGGCGUUCAUCAGUUACGAUGUAUGGAAUUAGCUUAGUUUCGUUACACAGGAUUAAAUCGGGACCGCUAAAGCAAGGCAUCCUGCUCUAGACUUUGUGUGAUUUCUGUGUUUUCACGCUGAUUUUGUUUUUGUUGAAUGGGGGUAAAACCACAGAUCUCUGCUCUACCUCAGAGUGAUGUAAACGUUAAGAAAUAUGCCAGUUAAAUGCCUUAAAGAUGUUGUAUAAACUCAAGGCAACGUGAUCUCAAGUUUUUCCCUCUUGCUGGAGUAAGUCAAUGUAGUCGCAAGUGAAGAAGCAGAACCAAAGUUUCGUUUUGUAUUUGUCUCACACAAAGAGGCUCCUGAGUGAGUGGGUGUGGCCAUGAAAACCAGCCAAAGCACCACCCACCCCCCAGACUUGACCAUGGGUCAUAGGUCAGAGUCUUCUUCUCCAAAUUUGCAAAUUUAAAGCGGGGGCGCCUGGGUGGCUCAGUCGGUUAAGUGUCCGACUUCGGCUUAGGUCAUGAUCUCACUCACGGUUUGUGGGUUUGAGCCCCGCAUCAGGGUCUGUGCUGACAGCUCAGAGCUUGGAGCCUGCUUCCGAUUCUGUGUCUCCCUCUGUCUCUGCCCCUCCCCUGCUCACACUCUGUUUCUCUCAAAAAUAAAGGAACACUAAUUUUUUUUUUUUUAAAGAGCUUAUCAAAUGCCCACCUGAUUGGUUAAUAGUCCUUCCUCUGAAUAUGAAAAAGAAUUCUGAGUAAUAUACAUUUGUCUUACCUGGAUGAAGACAGUCCAGAUAGGCAUUGCAUUUUAUCAUAUUGUACUUACCCUUGGUAUAAAGUGAAGUAAUUAUUGAGUCACUACUGAGAUAGCAAGAAGUCAGGGAGGGAUACUGAUGUAGAUUUGUGUAAAGGGCAUAAAUACUCCAUUCACCAAUAACCCAGCUUACCUAUUAGUGCCCCCCCAUAAAACCACUUCUCCAAGCCAUCUAGUUUACCCAGUUUGCUCUGUACUGUUCACCUGAUAAAAAAAAAAAAAGUUUAUAAGAUGUACAAUGUGAUCGUGACUGUUUUCCAUUUGGUAACUAGAAAUGAAAAGUUUUCGUUACAAUCUUCUGCUUCUUUCCUGAUCAACCCACUCAGUGACUUCCCAUCGCUGACUUUAAAGGAAAGAACAGAUGCCUUGGUCUUGAGGACUGGAGAUCGUCUGUAAUUUAGAGCUCUGGGGUCAAGCUGCACUGCAGUUUAUUCUGAGGAAUGAAUGAAGGAGAGAAACGAGCUUUAUUUUGUUUUUAAUUCUUUUUAGUGUUUAUUUAUUUUUGAGAGAGAGAGAGAGAGAGCGUGAGCAGGGGAGGAGCAGAGAGAGGCAGACACAGAAUGUGAAGCAGGCUCCUGGCUCCGAGCUGUCAGCACAGAGCCGGAUGCGUGGCUCGAAUUCACAAACUGCAAGAUCAUGACCUGAGCCAAAGUCAGAGGCUUAACCAACUGAGCCACCCAGGCUCCCUGAGAUGAGCUUUAAAAGGGAAGCCUGCUCGAUUGCUUUUUCUGUUUGCUUCAACAAAUGCUAUCUUUUUUCCAUCCAAACUCUAGCAGGAUUAACAUGGCCAGAGCAAAGCCUUAAUGGGGUUCACAGUAAAUAGAACUGCCUCCCUCACGCGGAGGAGCAGGAAUCAGCAUUCGAGACCAUGUAAAUAUUGCUUUUGGCCUGCUCUUCUCUGGAAUCCAACAACAUUCAGCAAAGAUAUUCCUUACAACACACAUAUCUAAGAGUCAUGUGGACUUUUCCUCUUCUCCUCCUUCAUAAACAGGUUGGUCCUUAAGGUGAGGCAGAGCUAGGCAGGCCUCUUUAUGAGGGGGAGUCAGGGGUGGGGCUGGGGAGACCCAUGACCCGGAGUGGGUGGGGGGGUUUGGGUGGGCAAUGGGGGAGUCUGUACAGUGGGGAGCAGCUUGGCACAGGAUGGCAGAGCCCAGGAAGGUGAGUAGGACAUGCACACGGGGCAGGGAGGGGGCUUACAACAUGGAGAGUCAGAGCCAAACAGGGUAAGGUGGACAUCUAGCAGGGGUCCAUCUAGCAUGGGCAAUCGGAGCCCAAACAGGGUGAGAAUGGGGAGUCCAAGCCCUAGUGGGGUAAAGGGAACUUUCAGAGCCAGGGCAGUGACCCAGCAUGAGGUAAGGGAGCCUGAGGAUGGUGAGGAGGGCAUCACGUGGGGUGGGGGGAGGACAGUGAUGGGAGCUUGGUGACCACAGAUGAGUGAAUCAUAUCCAAAGAUACAUAAAUGAUAAUAGGACCCAGGUUUCUCACUGUUGGAGAAGAGCAUAGCAAACAUUCAAAAAGGGAAACCUAGAAGGGACCUUUUGUCGUUGGAUUGGAGUCGGAGGUAUGGAUGUGAACAGUCCUCACAGUUUUCAGUAUAUGGAUAGAGUCCUGCAUAGACAUGUAAAUGUGUGUAGAUGCAUCUUGCCCCUUCUGUAGACGAACAGAUGUGUAGGUACAGAUAUGUAUACAGAUACGGAUAUAGAUAUACAUGUCAACAUCAAUCCUACCUUCUCAGCAGAGAGGGCCUGGGAGCAGCCACACCCUACCAACAACGAACACAGCUAGUGCCCAGAUCUUGGCUUCUAAACACCAUGGUCUACUAUGCAAACCAGGGCUCCACAGAGAAAUGACUGAUUUCAGGGCUUUCAUGGGAAAGGGACAAUUCGAGACGGAAUGUCUUUUUGUACCGAAAGACAAGGAAGUGUUCAAAGAAUGAUGGGAACAUUGAUACUUAAGCCAGCUUGAAGCACCCCCCUUUUAGUCCAAUCUGGGGAAAUUUGAGCAUCAUAAUAAAGACAGCAACUUAUCAAAUAGGGACUCAUGAAUCUAUAGUUUUCUGUCUAAUGAACAAUUGAAAUGUUGAUGAGGAAAAGAAUAUAUACACAAUUUCAAGGCGACUUACCAUAAAACACGAAUAAAUUACAAAGGGAAAGUGAGUAAUUUACAAUUAUCACCUGGCAGACAUCCCCUCACUCCACCCGUGAGUGUGAACAUCAUCCCAGUGGAAUUAAUUUAAAAAAAAAAUUGCUCCAUUUAAAAAGGCGAGAUGACACUUUUGUUAUAUCCUUGACAAACCUCCAUGACAUGAAUCUAACCAUGAGGAAACAUCGGACAAACCCAAAUUAAGGUACAUGCCAGAAAGCAGUCUUCAAAAGCCUCAAGGUCACAGAAGUAAAGGAAAGAUAGAGGAUAGAGGACCAUCUUAGACUGAAGGGAAUUAAAGAUACAUGACAACAAAGUGUAAUGUGAUUCUGAACUGGAUCCUUUUGCUAUGAAGAACAUUACUGGGACAACUGGAAAUAUUUGGAGUCUGAGGAUUAGAUACUAGAAAUGUAUCAACAUUAAUUUUCUGACUCUGACAGGUGUGUUGUAUUAGGUAGAAAAUAUCCCUGGUUGUAGAAAGUACACAUCAAGGGGUGAAUGGGGCAUCCGGUGACAACUCACUCUUAAUGAUUCAGGAAAAAAUAUUUUUGUAUUGUAAUUCCAAUUUUUCUAUAAAUGUGUGAUUAAAUAAAUUUAAAAAUAAAUGUUAUUUUUUAGUAAAACUGUAAUAUAUUUUUCUUUCAAACCAUUUUUUCCUUUCAGGCGUGGUAACAGCCACUCAUAGUCCUAAAGUUUAUCUGUUAAACAUUUCAGUUAACACAAAGUAAA